This 498-nucleotide ribosomal RNA is filed under the name uncultured bacterium. RNAcentral's name for it is "partial 16S ribosomal RNA". It matches the Rfam family "Bacterial small subunit ribosomal RNA", at positions 28 to 507 of the family's 1533-position model. The record is from RNAcentral.
GACGAACGCUGGCGGCGUGCCUAAUACAUGCAAGUCGAACGAGAGCGACCGGUGCUUGCACUGGUCAAUCUAGUGGCGAACGGGUGAGUAACACGUGGGUAACCUGCCCAUCAGAGGGGGAUAACAUCCGGAAACGGAUGCUAAAACCGCAUAGGUCUUCGAGCCGCAUGGCUUGAAGAGGAAAAGAGGCGCAAGCUUCUGCUGAUGGAUGGACCCGCGGUGCAUUAGCUAGUUGGUGAGGUAACGGCUCACCAAGGCCGUGAUGCAUAGCCGACCUGAGAGGGUGAUCGGCCACAUUGGGACUGAGACACGGCCCAAACUCCUACGGGAGGCAGCAGUAGGGAAUCUUCCGCAAUGGACGCAAGUCUGACGGAGCAACGCCGCGUGAGUGAAGAAGGUUUUCGGAUCGUAAAACUCUGUUGUUAGAGAAGAGCAAGUGCUAGAGUAACUGUUAGCGCCUUGACGGUAUCUAACCAGAAAGCCACGGCUAACUACGUG